This 263-nucleotide ribosomal RNA is filed under the name uncultured bacterium. Its description in RNAcentral is "partial 16S ribosomal RNA". It matches the Rfam family "Bacterial small subunit ribosomal RNA", at positions 92 to 354 of the family's 1533-position model. The record is from RNAcentral.
UUAGUGGCGGACGGGUGAGUAACGCGUGGAUAACCUGCCGUAUACACGGGGGAUAACACUUAGAAAUAGGUGCUAAUACCGCAUAAGCGCACGGUUCCGCAUGGAACAGUGUGAAAAACUCCGGUGGUAUACGAUGGAUCCGCGUCUGAUUAGCCAGUUGGCGGGGUAACGGCCCACCAAAGCGACGAUCAGUAGCCGGCCUGAGAGGGUGAACGGCCACAUUGGGACUGAGACACGGCCCAAACUCCUACGGGAGGCAGCAG